RNAcentral lists this long non-coding RNA (3036 nucleotides) under Sus scrofa (pig). RNAcentral's name for it is "lncRNA (ENSSSCG00040066576.1)". The record is from RNAcentral. Lineage: Eukaryota; Metazoa; Chordata; Mammalia; Artiodactyla; Suidae.
GGGGCGGGGCCGCCGGCGCCCGGACCUUGCUGCCGGCCUUCUCGUCGGACUUCCGGCCGCGCACCUACCGCCAGGGGAGUGGCGCCCGCGACCUGCGCGGCUCGGUCAAGUUCACUCUGGCGCGCGCCCCCGCCGCCUUGGCCGCCGCGCACAACCGCACACGCAGAGUUGGCCCUGGUAGUGCUUUCUUACCACAACCCAGAAGUGCGGAGGCUGUGAGAGGGGGACGAAUGGCGGCUGAUCGGGACGGGCCAGCAAAGCCCGGCAUCUGUCACGCGAGCAGGGAUGGCUGGGCAGGUGGACAGCCGACCCCACAGAAUGGCAUCUGCUGGACUGUCACCUCUGCUAGAUAAUGAGGCAUCCGCCCUGCGGGCUCAGUCAGCCUGCUGGGGGACGGACAAACCAGCAGUGCUCUCCUCUGACACCCCGAGAUACGGGACUCGCCCCGCUUCCAGCGCCCUGGCCACGGCGCCCCGCGGAGCGCCGCCCCUCCUGCAGGUACCGGGCUUUCAGGGGAGAAGACGCCCUUUACUCCCCGACCUCCUGGAACCUUCUGGCCAUCCGCCUGGCCUUCAUCAUUGUGUUUGAGGUACUGGGCACCUGGGCGGGGUGGUCCCCAACCCCUAUCCCCCCUGCUCGCACCUGGAAGCUGGCGCUUCCCGCUGUCACCUGGUCAGACGCUCAGUCCUGUGGGCCCCACUCCUCCGCUGGCCUGUCUCCCGGUGUGAGGCCACCGGAGUGCUCUGGGCCUUCCCUGCGGAGUGUCCCGUGGAAGCUGGGGGUGGCUCCUGUGGCCUUGGCCCCUGCCCCUCCCAGGAGUUUCCUGUUCUGCACGGAUGAGAGCAGGGGAAGGCCACGCUGGGCACGUGUUUUGCCAAGGGGGUGCCCUCUGCCCUCGCAGUGGUGUUCUCCCUGGGCCGGGUCCUCGCCCUCCUGGUUCCCGACCCCUGGGUCUGUGGAGGUCAAGAUGAAGCGGGAGCACCCCCUGGCCAAGCAGGCGCUGGCUGAGAAGGCGGUGCGCGCCCCCCGCCCCCAGCCCCGCACAGUUCGCGCAAUCCGCUUCGUCCUGCCACCAAGGCAGACUCAUCUCGCUCCUCCUCCGCCGCCCUCUCCUGGGAACAGGCUCUUUUUGGGACAAAACGCGUGAGAGAGGACGGGCCCUUGGGCCCAGAGAUGAGGCCGCGGGCCUCCCCAGCCCCUUCCCUGAGGCGGGCCCACUGGUGGAGGGAGGCUCACCAGCCCAAGGCCACAGCCUCCCCAGGGCAAACGGGCCCCCACCUGGGAUGCUGCCCCCAGUCACUGCCCCCCACCCCUGACCUCCUGGGGCCUGGCCUCUCAGCUCUGGUCCCUCCAGCCCUCCCCCUGCCCGGGUCCGAGGCUCUGCUCCAGCUGCGCCCGUGGAUGUGGGUCCUGUCCUCACUCUGGUGCUCCCCACACCUGCUGACCCUCAAAUGGUAGUGACCCUCUCCAGGCCAGCCCUGCCCCUCCCUACCCUGCCUGCUCCCAGCACAGCCCCACCAUCAGCCCCCGACCCUGGUCACGACCCGAAGUCUGCUCACCACGCUGACCCCGCCAGGGCCUGCGCCUGCAUCUCCUCUCUGCUUGAGCCCGGCCCGGCCCCCUCCAGCCACCACCAGCAGCCCCAGGCGUCCCUUUAUCCCGUUAACCUCUUCCGGUGGCGUUGCCGGCCCCUCCCAGACUCUGCGCGCUGAAUGGAGCCCCCUCCCCGCCCCCCGGGAGCGCCCCGCGGGGAGGUCGUGGGAGCGAACUGGACUUCACCCCCUGACCAUCAGACACCUGGAGGAAAGGACAGUCCAGUAACGCUGGUGGGGCUCCUUCCAGAAGUUUCUUGGCAAGUCCUGCUUAAAACUGGGAGCAUGACAGUCCCUGCAGUUUUUGACCCUGACUGCACGUGGCACUCCCCUUCCUCAUCUUUGAAAACCACAGACUCCCAGAAACGCCACGCCCGCCCUGCCUUCCCGAGGGGACGCUCCUCCACUGGCAGGGGCGUCCAAAGGCUCGGCAGGUUUCAGACUGCGACACACCCCGCCCACCCUCUCCCAGAGCUGCCCCCCGCACCUUUACAUCGUCCUUGGCAGCGAGGAGUGAGGCUGAGGCACGGCCGCUGGCAUUUCUCUUGGAUGUGCCACUGUGCCCGGACCAUCUGGAAGAUGUCCUCGUUUGUGGGUGGGCAGUGGGGCUGCCUGCACGAUGCCCGCCCUUAUCACCAGAUCCCCAAGUAGUUCCUUCCAGGGGGUUGCUUUUCUGUUCUUAUUGCUGUUUUUAACUCUAUUUUAUUUUUUGCUUUUCUCAAGGGCCGCACCAGCGGCACAGCACAUGGAGGUUCCCAGGCCAGGGGUCGAAUGGGCGCCACAGCCGCUGGUCUACACCACAGCUCACUGCAACGCUGGAUCCUUAGCCCACUGAGCGAGGCCAGGAAUUGAACCCACGUCCUCAAGGAUACCAGUCGGCUUCAUUUCCCCUAUGCCACAACAGGAAUUCCUAACUCCCAUUUUAAAGUAAGUUUCCCAGAAGGCUGGAACCAUGGCACCCACAGGCCCACACCACCAGCCUGUCCUGGAUGCUCCGUGAAUUAGAGCACCUGCUGAUCCACUCUGCCCGUCAGGGAAAACGCUGCCCUCAGCUCUUGUCCAGACCGCCUGGUGCCCACUGGUGCCCCCGACAGGCAGGUUUAGGAGUGGAACUGCUGGGUCACUGGGUAAACAGAUUUGUCUUUAAGCGGUGGGGGGAGCGAGGUCAGGGCACCCCCAGCAGGCACAGCAGCCCAGAGACAGGCAGCCAGCUUCACUGUGUCCUCCACUGGCCCCGCAGCACUGUGGCUCCUGUGGGGGCUGUCAACACGAGGCUGAGAGCCACAGGCAGCUGGGAGACUCACACGGAGUUUCUGGGCGUCGGGAAGACACCCCUGGUUCCACGAGGCUGAGCCCACACGCGCGGCGCGAUAGGAGGAGUCUCGGAGCACUGCAUCUGGUUUCGGGUUUUAUUUUAGAAUGUAUAAAAUUCCAGUGUCACCCG